GACGAACGCUGGCGGCGUGCUUAACACAUGCAAGUCGAACGCUGAAGCUCAGCUUUUGUUGGGUGGAUGAGUGGCGAACGGGUGAGUAACACGUGAGUAACCUGCCCCCUUCUUUGGGAUAACGCCCGGAAACGGGUGCUAAUACUGGAUAUUCACUGGUCUUCGCAUGGGGGUUGGUGGAAAGGGUUUUUCUGGUGGGGGAUGGGCUCGCGGCCUAUCAGCUUGUUGGUGGGGUGAUGGCCUACCAAGGCUUUGACGGGUAGCCGGCCUGAGAGGGUGAUCGGUCACAUUGGGACUGCGAUACGGCCCAGACUCCUACGGGAGGCAGCAGGGGGGAAUAUUGCACAAUGGGCGCAAGCCUGAUGCAGCGACGCCGCGUGAGGGAUGGAGGCCUUCGGGUUGUGAACCUCUUUCGCUCAUGGUCAAGCCGCAACAAUGGUUGUGGUGAGGGUAGUGGGUAAAGAAGCGCCGGCUAACUACGU
RNAcentral lists this ribosomal RNA (482 nucleotides) under uncultured bacterium. Its description in RNAcentral is "partial 16S ribosomal RNA". It matches the Rfam family "Bacterial small subunit ribosomal RNA", at positions 28 to 506 of the family's 1533-position model. The record is from RNAcentral.